This 1287-nucleotide long non-coding RNA is filed under the name Ornithorhynchus anatinus (platypus). RNAcentral describes it as "lncRNA (ENSOANG00000050439.1)". The record is from RNAcentral. Lineage: Eukaryota; Metazoa; Chordata; Mammalia; Monotremata; Ornithorhynchidae.
AUGCUCUUUGGCAUUUCUCAUUGCUUGUUUGAUUGUUUUCUCUUUGUGGGCGCCGGCCCGGAGCUGGGGGGGCGGGUGGUCCCGGGCCCCGGGGGCGGCGUCGCAAGGGCCGCCCGGGGGGCCGCCGGCCGGCACGCGGAGGACGGUCUCCCGCGGGUCGAUGAGGGGCUGGUCGAAGUAGCAGAAGGACUUCUGGUGGGUCAGGGCCGGCUCCUCGGCCGCGAACAUCAUCCGGCACUUCCUGCAGAUGAACUCGUACUUGACGGGCGGGGUCGCCGGGGGGUCACCCUCAGCGCCGUCCGGGGCCGGCGGCUUGGCCGGGGCGGCCCGGGGCCGCGGGGCCGGGGGAUCCGGCCGCGGGCCCGGCCCGGCCGGGGGCGCCGGCGGCGAGCCCACGGGCCCGUACGGGAAGAGGCCCUCGAGGCCGCAGGCCGGGGGCAGGUACCCGCCCGGCCCGGCCCCGGGCAGCUGGGGGGCCAGGUAGGAGGCGAAGCCGGGGAGGAAGUAGGGCAGGAACUGGCCGCCGAGGAGGGCCGGCCCGUCGGGGCCCUGCGGGGCCGGGAGCCGGCUGUUCUCCCCGCCCGGGCCUGGUCCGCCCGGGCCCGGCGCCACCUUCUCCUCUCUCCUGGGAGGCUUCUCCGGGUGGGGGGCGUCCGGCUCCUCCUCCUUGAUCCUGCGGACCUUGCCGGGUCCGGGCGGCUUCUUGUCCGGCUCCCUGUCGGGCGGGCCGGGGCCCGGCGCGGGCGGCGGGGUCUGCGGGCCGGGCUUGGCGGGGCCGCCGCCCGGGGCCGGGGCCGGAGACGAGGCCGCGGAGCCGGGGAACCCCAGGAGGCCCGGACCGGGAGACGGCAGAGCUGGAAGCGACAACGACGGUGGGGUCAGGCCCGGCACUGUCACGACGGCGGGGUGAGGGGGUGGCCCGCCUCCCACCCGGGGGGGGCCCUGGAGGGUGGGGGGUGGCGCGCCGCUCGACCCUGGGACUUCCCGAUGGCCCUAUUCCCCUCACUCCUGUCCCCCCGGCCCCCUCCCGGUUUCCCCCGAAACCCAGGAGACCCCACUCCCGCGGCCGCCGGGGGGGGAAUCGGACGGAUCCCAUCGGGGAGCGUGGGCUGGGGAAAGGGGAGAUCCCAUCCGAAAGCACGGCUGGGAAUCGGGGAAAUCCCCCGGAAACGCAGCGGGGAAUCGAGAAGAGCCCACCGGGGAGCGUGGCUGGGAAAUGGGGUAGUCCCCCACAGGAGCGUGACGGGGAGACGGGCGGAUCCCAUCUGGGGGCGUGGCCGGGAAUAG